Molecule: microRNA precursor, 52 nt
Organism: Bison bison bison
Lineage: Eukaryota; Metazoa; Chordata; Mammalia; Artiodactyla; Bovidae
Source: Ensembl
GUGCUCUAGAGCUCACAGGCCACGACUACUGGGCCUGUGUGCUCUAGAGUCU